CCGUCGAUAGCUCAGUUGGUAGAGCGGUGGACUGUAGAGGGUUGCAUAACGCAGACAUCCAUAGGUCGCUGGUUCGAAUCCGGCUCGACGGA
Molecule: transfer RNA, 92 nt
Filed under: Haemaphysalis longicornis (longhorned tick)
Lineage: Eukaryota; Metazoa; Arthropoda; Arachnida; Ixodida; Ixodidae
Rfam family: tRNA
About the family: Transfer RNA (tRNA) molecules are approximately 80 nucleotides in length.
Source: Rfam by way of RNAcentral